This 864-nucleotide ribosomal RNA is filed under the name uncultured bacterium. RNAcentral's name for it is "bacterial SSU rRNA". It matches the Rfam family "Bacterial small subunit ribosomal RNA", at positions 114 to 961 of the family's 1533-position model. The record is from RNAcentral.
GGCGUAGGAAUCUGCCUCUUAGUGGGGGACAACCUAGGGAAACUUAGGCUAAUACCGCAUACGCCCCCUAUAGUUAGGGGGGAAAGCGGGGGACCUUCGGGCCUCGUGCUGAGAGAUGAGCCUACGUCCGAUUAGCUAGUUGGUAGGGUAAGGGCCUACCAAGGCGACGAUCGGUAGCUGGUCUGAGAGGAUGGCCAGCCACACUGGGACUGAGACACGGCCCAGACUCCUACGGGAGGCAGCAGUGGGGAAUAUUGGACAAUGGGGGCAACCCUGAUCCAGCGAUGUCGCGUGGGUGAAGAAGGCCUGCGGGUUGUAAAGCCCUUUCAGUCGGGAAGAAAGGCCAAGAGCGAAUACCUUUUGGUGUUGACGUUACUGACAGAAGAAGCACCGGCUAACUCCGUGCCAGCAGCCGCGGUAAUACGGAGGGUGCAAGCGUUAAUCGGAAUCACUGGGCGUAAAGGGCGCGUAGGCGGUUUGGUCAGUCGGAUGUGAAAGCCCCGGGCUUAACCCGGGAAUGGCAUUCGAUACUGCCUCACUUGAGUAUGGGAGAGGGAAGCGGAAUUUCCGGUGUAGCGGUGAAAUGUGUAGAUAUCGGAAGGAACACCCGUGGCGAAGGCGGCUUCCUGGCCCAAUACUGACGCUCAAGCGCGAAAGCGUGGGGAUCAAACAGGAUUAGAUACCCUGGUAGUCCACGCCCUAAACGAUGAGAACUCGCCGUUGGGGGAGUUAAAUCCCUCAGUGGCUCAGCUAACGCGUUAAGUUCUCCGCCUGGGGGAGUACGGCCGCAAGGUUAAAACUCAAAGGAAUUGACGGGGGGCCCGCACAAGCGGGUGGAGCAUGUGGGUUUAAUUCGAUGCAACG